Molecule: long non-coding RNA, 1132 nt
Filed under: Mytilus galloprovincialis (Mediterranean mussel)
Lineage: Eukaryota; Metazoa; Mollusca; Bivalvia; Mytilida; Mytilidae
Source: RNAcentral
CUCAGUUUUGGAUUGUUUGUCAUAAUUUUUAAAAUAGGACAAUUUUGAUAUAAGAACAUUUCUUUGUGAUUCAUAUUUUGUGCAGUGCAAGAUAAAAUGUUUUUCGUCUUCUAUAUUUUUAUUAUGACAUAAUUUGCACAACCUUUCUUCUCUGUUAACUUGCAUGUAUCUACCUCUUUCAAUUUCAAGAUUGUGUGCACUUAGCCUUAGUUUUGCCAAAGGUGCCCUAUCUUUCAACAUAUUCAAUUGGUCAACAUAGUGUGCACGUUUAUUUGAAAAACAAAAAUGUCGAAAAAAUGAUAGUUUUGAUGAUUCUGUAAUAUAUGAAUUCUGUUCUUGUAAAAUUUGGUCAUGAAUUCGUUGUUUUAUUUGAGCAAGCAUAGGUGUAAUAGGUACAUUAAAAGAUGUUAAAUAUGAGAAACCCAGAUUAUGGAUACAUUUCUUCAUAUUACUUGUCCAUAGGUUGUUUUCUCUUGUUUGAAUAAAUAUGUCAUGAGCUAAGAUUUUGUUAGAUGAGAUUAAAUGAUCUAAAAAUUUCAUGGAAGACAACAAAAUUUUAGCUUUUAAGGGGAGUCUACCAAGCUCACUGCGACAUGCAUGGUUGGAAGUUUUACAGUGAACCCCAAGAAUUUCUUUCAUAAAUUUUAUAUGAAACUUUUCAUAUGGUUCAUUCUCAGUAUUUUUUUGAAUUGAUUCAAUACCCCAAACUUCACUUCCAUAUAAUAAAAUUGGAAGUACCAUUGUAUCAAAAAGUUUUUCUAAAAGUCUACAUGAAUUGUUGAGACUAAGAGAUUUCUUUAUUUUGAAUAGAGCUUUUCUAGCCUUUUCCAUCAAUAAAUUGGAGGCAAGGUUAAAUUUGCCAUUGCAUUUUAAAGUUAUCCCAAGGUAACAAUAUUUAUCAACUGUCUCAAUAUAAUAUUUGUUGAUAGUAAAAAAGUUUUGAAAUGAUUUGCCGUUAGAAUUGAAUAUUAGGACUUUUGAUUUUGUAGAAUUUACUUCCAGCUUCCAAUCUGUACAGAACUGAGCUAGAGUGUCAAGACUACAUUGUAGUCCUUCUGGACUACUUGACAAUAGUACCAAGUCAUCGGCAUAUAACAAACAAUGAAUCUUAUCAUCACCAAUUAGCACAGGG